Molecule: long non-coding RNA, 4240 nt
Filed under: Vitis vinifera (wine grape)
Lineage: Eukaryota; Viridiplantae; Streptophyta; Magnoliopsida; Vitales; Vitaceae
Description: long non-coding RNA (VVIN_LNC005157)
Source: RNAcentral
UUUUCUUUAUUUUCUUGGUAACCAAACAGAGGGUCAGAUUUCACUCUCAAUGCUUUUUAAGUUGGGUAUGCUAUUGCUGGUAGGUUUCAAUUCUAAAGUUUCUCUUUGAACAGCCGUGGAACAGAUGGGACGGAAAUUUUUGUUAGUUAAUGGUCGUUUCUAGUCGGUAAUGUUGUGUUGUAUAAGAAAUAGACUUUGUUUAGAUACAGAGCAAAUAUGAAAAAAGCAAUUAAAAUUGAAUUUUCACCAACAAUGAUCCGGAGCAUAAAUUUUCAAAUACAGAAACAUGCCAACUUCACUGAAAAUUCACAAUGCUGAGGGGCGUUUUCUAUUUUUCUUUUUGGAAGCAAAAGAUGAGAAAUAAGUUGUUUUCUUUUGUUGCUCUAUUUUCUUGGAAACCAAAUAGAGGACUAGAGUUUCUCUUUGAGUACUUUUAACCUGUCUAUGCUAUUGUUGAAAAUUUUGAAUUCCAGGAUUUUAUUAUGGACUACAGCUGAAGCAGAAUUUUGAUAAAAUUAAUUAUCUAGGAACAUUAUAUUGUACAAUUAUAUAUAUAAAACAAUUCUUGUGCUUGAAAGUGAAAAAUAAAUAAAAUGAAUUUGAUUUUAUCAUAUUGAUUUUUAUAUUUUUAUUAAUAAAUUAAUAUAUAAUUUAAAAUAAUAAAAAUAGGAUUAGUUUUUUUUUUUAAUGACAAAUCUUAACAAAUUUAAAUUGAACAUAUUUUAUCAAAGAGUAGCGUGGUCCAAUGGUUGAACCGUUCAUGAUUUGUUUCCCUUUUUUUUUUUUCUCACUACUAAAACUGAAAAGGGCCACUCACUUCUGUCACUCCAGGCAUCAAGAAGCCCUUGUCUGAAGUUGCCGUCCAGACGAGAGAAUCCCUAAAAAGGCCCUAUUUUCCUCUGCCACUCUCAAUCCUCGCAGGUACUAAUCUCAUCGUGUUAUUUUAUUUGUUUUAUUUUUUUUGCAACCCCCGUUUGAUUCCCAAGAAAAUCCAUCCGCCAUUUUAUUUCCGGGAAAAUUCAUCCUCGUUUGAUUUCUGAGACAAUCCAUGCAAAACCCCCGAGGAAAACCAAAAAAAUUGCUUUUUUUUUUGCUCCCUGUGUUUUCUGGAUCUGUUCUAGGGGUCUCUUUGCUUUUGUGCCAUUGGAUUUAAAUUUCACGAACCCUAAAUCCACGAUUUUUAGCCAGGCUGAAAAACACAACCCUUGCCUGCAAAUCAUGAUCAGAUUACCAAAUAACAUCUUAUGUUUUUUUUUUUCUAGAAAAAAAAAAAAUUGGACAGAUUUUGUAUCCUGUGCGUAGGCUGGACUGGUAAGAAAUGUCGGGAAAUUUCCCGAAAAAUCGGUAAAAAUACCGAUAAAUACCGAUCGGCGAUAUUCCCGUAAAAUUACCGAAAUUUCCAUCGACCGACAAUUGGUGACGAAUAUCGUAUCGGAGCCGGCCGAUAAGCGAAAUUUCGGAGAAAUAUCACAGAAAAUUUUCGAUAUUUCAAACACUGCAUGCUUGUUGGGUUUCAAAUCAAAUGGGUUCUUAUUCCAGGCACUUAAUUUUGUGGCUUUGAACGGGUCUUUGCCUCUUUCAACCGAUCAAAUGAAGGUGCGGAAAUGGUAAUAUUUCAUAUUUUUAUUUGUUCUUGUUAGUUAAAUUCUAAUAAUCUAUUCUCCUCUUUUGGUCAUGUAGGUUGAUUUUGGUUUCGCCUACAUUAAACUUGAGAUCAGAAACCUCAAAUUUUCCACAUAUUAGAUCUUUAAUCACUGGGUACGUUCUGGUUUGCUUUGUGAUUUAUUGAGGAAAAAGUAUGGAUUGUGUGGGAUGGUUGAAAAUAUUUAGUUACUAAGAAAGCCCACAACCUUUCAUUUAAAUCCAUAGAUUUCAUACCAGCUCGUGUCUUGCAACUUGUAAGCUUUUUUCCUUUUAUGUCUCAUUUUUUAAUACAUUAUUAUUUUCUCUUAUUAAUUAAUUAUUUGAUAUAUAUAUAUAUAUAUAGUGGUAAAUUUUUAUGUCACUAUAAUAAUGUUACUUCUUUUUAUAUUCAAAUAUAUAAAUAAAAAGACAAUUUAUUUUUUUUCGUUUUUAUUAAAUUGUGCACUUUGGCGUGUCCUUCAUGUCAAAUAAGUUUGGCUUUAAUUAAUCUAAAUUGAUAUUUAAAAUAAUACAAUAAGACACUUUCAAUUUCAUCAUAUAAAGUUUAAUAGUGUUUGAGAGAUAACAUAUUAUGGGAAAAAUACUGAAAUGGGUGAGUAUAGUCUUUCAGUAUUUGUUUAAAAAUUUAUUUUUUAUUUUUUCAAUUCACUUAUUAAAAUGUUUAAUAUACGUAAUAUAUAUAUAUUUCCAAUUUGCAAUUAUGGUAAGUUAGAAUAUAUGAAAAAAUUAAAAGAACUUAAUUAAAGUCAAAUUCUCAAUUAAAAUGAUCAUCUAAUUUAUACUAUAACUAAAUUUAAUUUACAAAGGACUUAAUUUAGGUUCGACUAUCAUCACAUGAACUUAAUUAAAGUUAAAUUCUUAAUUAGAAUGUUCACCCAAAUCUAACAAAGUACGAAAUUCCCAUUAAGUUCUCAUUUAAAAUAUUUCAAAUACAUUUUGACAUCAAUAGAUUGAAAUUAAGAUAUAUUUUAGAACUAUCGAAUUACCUAACAUAAAUAAUUGUUUUACAUAUAAUUUAACGAAAAUAAUAUAUACAUUUAAUUAUUAAUUAAAAUUUUGUUAAAUAAGUUUAUUAUGCAAUUGCUAAUAUAGAUUAUUAUUUAACUUACUACAAUAAUUAUGUUUGACUUAUGAAAAAAAUGAAAGAUUAUUUGACUUUCAUUAAUUACUCACUUAUUUACAUGUGGCGUGUAUUUGUAUUUAUAAAAUUAGGGUUGUGAUUUGUGUUCAAUUAUUAGGAUUAAUUCAUCAAAUUUAGAAUUCAAAUGGGAGAAUUAAGAACAUUAAAUCUUAAUUUUUAAUUUUUAAAAUAAAUUAAAAUGAUUGAUUUUAAUAAAUAUUUAGAUGAAUGUGAAAUAUGGUUUGGAAAUAUUAGAGAAAUUUUGUUUGAAUGGAUGAUAAUUGAUUUGUUUUGAUUUAUUUUAAUAUAAUUGAGAAUCAGAUAAGUUAUGAGAUAAAAAUAAAAAGACUUUUUCCGAUAUGACACAAGUUAAAAAAUUGAACUUUUUUCGUUAACACGUCUUAGAUUUUGUUGUACUCGUAGAAUUUGAUCAAGAUCGGCCCAGUUACAGCCCAAUAGUUCAAAACUUGGGCCGGCCCAUACCUGAGUGAACUCACAUAGCCUAGGCCCUCAGUCAGUCUAGACAAAAGCAUCCAAUUAUCCUUCUCAGAACGCUGCGUUUCUGUCGAUCUUUGAAUUCAAGGGAUCCGAUCUGCGUCUAAGGCGAUGUUUGAGUUGAAGGUACUUUUCCAAUAUCUAUUCCCAAUUCAUUCAAUCGACUUCUACAUCACACACAAUCGAAAUAAUGGGAAAAUGAAAGAAAAUUUUUAAUCGUAAUCUUUUCACCAUAAAGUGUUCUAGAAUAUGGUAACUUGCACUUUACCUAAAACUCAUAAUAUUCUUUGGCUUCGUUUAUCCAAGUAUUUUUUUUUCUUGUUUCGUUUUUGAAUUUGACAGCAAAGACAAUGAGAGAGAUAUCAUAGUAAUGAAAAUGUUGUUUUUCUUUAUUUUCUUGGUAACCAAACAGAAGGUUGGAUUUCACUCUCAGUGCUUUUUAAGUUGGAUAUGCUAUUGCUGGUAGGUUUCAAUUCUAAAGUUUCUCUUUGAACAGCCGUGGAACAGCUGGGACGGAAAUUUUUGUUAGUUAACGGUCGUUUCUAGUCGGUAAUGUUGUGUUGUAUAAGAAAUAGACUUUGUUUAGAUACAGAGCAAAUAUGAAAAAAGUUAUUAAAAUUGAAUUUUCACCAACAAUGAUCCGAAGCAUAAAAUUUUCAAAUACAGAAACAUGCUAACUUCACUGAAAAUUCACAAUGCUGAGGGGCGUUUUCUAUUUUUCUUUUUGGAAGCAAAAGAUGAGAAAUAAGUUGUUUUCUUUUGUUGCUCUAUUUUCUUGGAAACCAAAUAGAGGGCUAGAGUUUCUCUUUGAGUACUUUUAACCUGUCUAUGCUAUUGUUGAAAAUUUUGAAUUCCAGGAUUUUAUUAUGGACUACAGCUGAAGCAGAAUUUUGAUAAAAUUAAUUAUCUAGGAACAUUAUAUUGUACAAUUAUAUAUAUAAAACAAUUCUUGUGCUUGAAAGUGAAAAAUAAAUGAAAUGA